Molecule: ribosomal RNA, 468 nt
Filed under: uncultured bacterium
Lineage: Bacteria
Description: partial 16S ribosomal RNA
Rfam family: Bacterial small subunit ribosomal RNA
Source: RNAcentral
GACGAACGCUGGCGGCGUGCUUAACACAUGCGAGUCGAACGGAAAGGCCCUGCUUUUGUGGGGUGCUCGAGUGGCGAACGGGUGAGUAACACGUGAGUAACCUGCCCUUGACUUUGGGAUAACUUCAGGAAACUGGGGCUAAUACCGGAUAGGAGCUCCUGCUGCUUGGUGGGGGUUGGAAAGUUUCGGCGGUUGGGGAUGGACUCGCGGCUUAUCAGCUUGUUGGUGGGGUAGUGGCUUACCAAGGCUUUGACGGGUAGCCGGCCUGAGAGGGUGACCGGCGACAUUGGGACUGAGAUACGGCCCAGACUCCUACGGGAGGCAGCAGUGGGGAAUAUUGCACAAUGGGCGGAAGCCUGAUGCAGCAACGCCGCGUGCGGGAUGACGGCCUUCGGGUUGUAAACCGCUUUCGCCUGUGACGAAGCGUGAGUGACGGUAAUGGGUAAAGAAGCACCGGCUAACUACGUG